AAGAGAGUGGCGAACGGGUGAGUAAUACAUAAGUAAUCUGCCCCUACAACUGGGAUAACCAUUGGAAACGAUGGCUAAUACCGGAUAGUUCAAUUGAUGGCAUCAUUGAUUGAUUAAAGAUGGGCUACAUCGAGUAGGGAUGAGCUUAUGGUGCAUUAGCUAGUUGGUAAGGUAAGAGCUUACCAAGGCGAUGAUGCAUAGCCGACCUGAGAGGGUGACCGGCCACACUGGGACUGAGAUACGGCCCAGAUUCC
This 254-nucleotide ribosomal RNA is filed under the name uncultured bacterium. Its description in RNAcentral is "partial 16S ribosomal RNA". It matches the Rfam family "Bacterial small subunit ribosomal RNA", at positions 89 to 339 of the family's 1533-position model. The record is from RNAcentral.